UCUACCAAAAGUCACAGCGCGUUCUCUCUUUUUCUAUGUCUCCCUCUCUAUACGUACAUCUCUUCAAUUCGUCCAUUUUUACGCCUUACUCCAUAUGCAGUCUCCAUGAUUGUCUAUCAGUCCCUCUUACUUCCUUUUACAGCUCGCUUAACCUGCCGAUGUCGCUGCUUUCAGCCCAUUUUCUUACACGGACGUUGGGCUUUCCUGUACGGGCUGCUCUCAAACUCAAAUCUUCCAAUUAAGCCUCUUUCUGGACCUAUUUGACGAAUUUUAAGUAAGAAUCAAAAACUAUCCAGAGCCUUUGCAGAUCAGCAUAUUGAACAACUCAUUGAUGUCACUGCUGUUAGUGGCGUGGAUCUCAGGGAAGAGGAGGAGCAACUCUUUUCUGGGCCUAAUGAAGAUAGUCGAGCUUCAGAAGCAUCGAAGAAAGUUGUGCGAGAAGAAGAUGAAGCACUCAUCUUACAGAGAGCUCCCAUACAGGAAAAAAUCACAGAGAUUAUGAGCAAAUGUGGGUCAAUAAUAUUGGCAAUGAUGUGGAGCGAUGUCUAUCACUAGUUAAGUUCAUGCAUUUCUAUAGUUCUUCGCAUUAUUUAAUAUUUUUUCAUGCAAUAUGAAACUGAUCUUUCAGUGGGUAGAGGAGAGGAUAUAGGGAGUUCUGUGCAAUUUGAUCAGAUUUUCGAACCAAGCGAGUUUUCCUUUUUUUCAGGCGAGUUUUGUAGUUCCCAUAUGGAAAUUCGAGACCACAUGUUUUUCCCCUGCUUGGUUACUCAAGGUAUUUGGAAGAGUUUAAUGGCUCGAAUACGUGCACAAGAUGAAGUGCAGAUAAAGUGCAAACUAGAGAUCAAAGCUUUGCUGGAUUUCCUCCCUUAAAGGUAGGAAGUUGGAUGUUGUUCUCUAGAAGUUAUUCUGGACAUAUUACAUUUAUUGGAUAUGGAAGAAUUGCAACACCAGUAUUUUCAAGAAACACCAUAUGUAUGUUGUAGCUUUGAAAAUAUAGAGAAUUUUUGAUGAAGUUAGAUUGUGAUGUAAAUAUUAGCUAGGCUGUCAUUUGGUUUUUUAGGAGUUUAGCUUCUCCUUUGUACUUAGAUUCGUGGGUAAAACUUAUUUAAAUCUCUUCAGUAUCAUUGAAAGUGUCCACCACUUACCCAAAAUAAGGCAAAAAAAAAACUGAAAAGGAAACAAGAGAGUUCCCUUGAGGAGAAUUCUUCUGCAUACUUGAUUACAGGGUAUAUUGUACGUCGUUGUUUUGGACCUAUCCUCUUGUGAUCCAAGUUUAAGUUUGUCUUCUUUGGU
Molecule: non-coding RNA, 1293 nt
Organism: Punica granatum (pomegranate)
Lineage: Eukaryota; Viridiplantae; Streptophyta; Magnoliopsida; Myrtales; Lythraceae
Source: RefSeq, a predicted model, not a curated record